This 3164-nucleotide long non-coding RNA is filed under the name Homo sapiens (human). RNAcentral describes it as "HSALNT0279084". The record is from RNAcentral. Lineage: Eukaryota; Metazoa; Chordata; Mammalia; Primates; Hominidae.
CGGGAGCCAGCUGGUACAUGGAAGAUUGCAGGAUCUGAAAUUCACGGGGUUCCACAAACAGAAAUUAUCCCUGUUUCUCAAGAAAUCAUCAAUGCCCUACAUUAAACUGCUAAGGUCGUGUUGCCACCUGUCCAGUUUCUAACUGUGAGCAGGGCUUGUCCUGCUGCCGCCUCACAGGAAGACUCUGGAGUUUGGAUGAAAUCUCUGCCCUUUCUCCCUGCCUGGAAUUCUGCAGUGUUCUGGCAGCUUCUUGGAUCCCCAGAGAGCCAAUUCCUUGUCCCCCUGUGGGAAGUCCACCUGGGAAGGCCACAGACACAGCGGAGAAAGGCGCUGCCCCAUCAAGGUGAAGAGGGGGCCGGCAGAGGAGCUGGCUGAGAUGAACGACGUGGUGACAAAGCACAGUGUCACUCGGAGCCCCUGGGACCGUUUGUCUCUGGGUUUCCCCAGUCAGCUGCUGUUGGAAAGCAACACGGAGAAAAUGAGGAGAGAGCUGGCCUUUGUUUACGCAGGCAAUGUGCAGGUAGGGGGGAAACAGCCCUGCACUGGGUUCACCACCCGCACCUGCAAAGACCCUGGCGUCCACCUGCCUUUUGCCUGGAAACAUAGUGAAGUUUUGCAGCCCCAGAGAAAGUCAGCAAAUCUGUGAAGUUAGAACCACGGCAAUAUUUCUUUGCACAUUUGACUUGUUUGUUUAUUUAUUUAUUUCGAGACAAAGUCUCGCUCUUGUCGUCCAGUGUAGAGUGUGAUGGCGCGAUCUCAGCUCACUGCAACCUCUGCCUCCCGGGUUCAAGCGAUUCUCCUGCCUCAGCCUCCCCAGUAGCUGAGAUUACAGGAGCCUGCCACCAUGCCUGGCUAAUUUUUGUAUUUUUAGUAGAGAUGGGGUUUCACCAUGUUGGCUGGUCUUGAACUCCUGACCUCAGGCGAUCCACCCACCUCGGCCUCCUGAAGUGCUGGGAUUACAGAUGUGAGCCACCGUGCCCGGCCUUGACUUGUUUAUUUUAAGAUGUUUUGCCUUCAGCAAAAUGGCUGGUGUAGCGCCUUGAGGAUGCGGUCCUGAGUGUGCGCUGUGUUUCAGAGCCGACAAAGGCCUGCGUGUCUCUAGCUCCUGCUUCUGGACACCAUCACUCAGGACGUGUGGCAAGGGGCAGUAGGUGGUCCCCCCAGGAAGGCCACGGAUGCCCUGCCAUGAUGGGAUCAACCACGCCUCUUUCCCUUCAGUCUCCAUCCGCACAUCUGGGAGUGGACAAAGUAUCUGCAUGGAGAGUUUGACUGUGUGACCUUCUCUAAAACAGGCAACAGCUCUUCCUAAAACCCAGUCAUCCUGAGAGAGCAGCGCCCUGUGUGUCCAGACCAGGCUUCUGUCGAUGCCGGCAGCAGACGUCUCACUGCAUUAGCAGAACUGCAUCCCCCCAACAAAGCCAGGAGGCAGGAAAUAUUUUCCAGAUUAUUCCAAUGAAGAAAUUGAGGCUCCAAAAAUGAAAAUAUUUGCUGAUCACACAGCUUCUGAGAGGCGGGGCUGAUGUUUAUUAGUUUUAUUUAUUAUGUGUAUUCUUACUGAUUUUGUUAUGUGUGUGUUUAUUUAUUGUCUAUUUGUUUUCAUGCAGAUGUAUUUGCAAGUAGGUUUUAUUUUAUUCUAACCAAAGGGAAAAUGGACUCACUGGCUGUUCAUGAAUGCACCCACCCCACCUUGCUCAGAGAGUGGCUUUCCCAGGUCUUCGAGAUUUGCAGGGGGCUACCCUGCCCCUCUGGCUGUGCACCAGUGCUUUCUGCCAGCCUCCAACCCAAAAGAGUAAAAUCUACAAUUCCUCAACUGCAAAUCCUAAAACUGUUUUUCACCCCCGUCUCCCAGACUCACUUAUAAUGCUUAACACACAUCCUUAUUUAUUUAAAGAACAGUAAACACUUUCACCUCUCCCAGAGGUACGAGAGCUAUAAAUUUCAAUAGCUAGUAACACAGUGGGUUUUUACAAGAGGUUACUUCAGGGCAGCGCUCUGAAAUCACACAGGCGCUGGCUGAAAGUGUUCCUUGUGCUUCCCGAAGGUAGAGAAGUUGACAAAUCGGAGACUGCAAUUAUGAAAUUAAAUGCACACCGAGUACCACUUCUCCCCAAAGAAGGUUGAAAUGCCAGGUUGGUCAGGUCAGACGCUUAGACAGAUGGUCGCACUGGGGUGUCCUGACAUGGAGGCAGGAUGGCACCAGGCGGAAAGGCCAAUCGAGGGGACCCUCCCUUCUCUGGAGUCCUCCUCCUCCCUCCCUCUUCCUUCUUUGUGCAUAUUCAACAGCAGCCUCCUGCUUGCUGGCACUGUUGAGUGUGAACGCAGCCAUGAAGCCACAGGAUCCCGUCUGGGGAACUGACAUUCUAAGGGAAGGAAACUUCCUCCCUCACUCCUUCUGGCCAGCCUCCCCCAAAUAGGGGUGAAACCCUUGAGGCCAGGUCUUUGGAACUGUUUUUACUCGGAACACUCUGACACCAAAGCAUGGUGCUUUUUAUUCACAGAAACGACCAAUUCUUCAACUCUCCAGACACCAGCUGGGUGCCCCACAAUUGACACAAAUUACCCACAAGUUAAUCAGCACAGACCCCACAGGUGAGGGGCUCAGUCCCACAAAACUGUGCCCAUCCCAGAUGUCAGCCACCAAGUCCCAGGUGGCCCCUGUACUUCUGACUGACAGGCUAGAAAUCAGGGCUUCCCAUAACCCCUCCUUUCAUAAUUUGCUAGAACAGCUCACAAAACUCAGCAAAAUCCACCACUUAUUCUCAACAACUUAUUAUAAAAGAUCCGCCUCAAGAACGGCCACAAGGAAGAGCUGCAGUGUAAGGAGGGAGGGCGAGGAUCCUGCACGUGCUUUCUGGGCGAGCCGCCCUCCCAACACCUGGAUGGAGUCAGCAGCCCAGCAGCCCCCCAGACCCUUCCACCCUGCAGGCAGGACUGAUUAUGUCACCUGUCCUUGGUGACUGCUCCACCUCCAGCCCCUCUUCCCUCCCUGGAGUUGGGAAAGGGGCUGAAAGUCCCACCCCCCAAUUCUGCCUUUGUCUUCCUGGCCACCAGACCCCAACCUGAAGCUCCCUGGGGCCCUGGCCCCCUUCAUCUCCUUGGCCUACAAAGACCCUCAUCACUCCAGAGAUGUCAAGGGCUUUAGGAGCUGUGUGCCAGGGAGUGGG